GACGAACGCUGGCGGCGUGCUUAACACAUGCAAGUCGAACGGAAAGGCCCUGCUUUUGUGGGGUGCUCGAGUGGCGAACGGGUGAGUAACACGUGAGUAACCUGCCCUUGACUUUGGGAUAACUUCAGGAAACUGGGGCUAAUACCGGAUAGGAGCUCCUGCUGCAUGGUGGGGGUUGGAAAGUUUCGGCGGUUGGGGAUGGACUCGCGGCUUAUCAGCUUGUUGGUGGGGUAGUGGCUUACCAAGGCUUUGACGGGUAGCCGGCCUGAGAGGGUGACCGGCCACAUUGGGACUGAGAGACGGCCCAGACUGCUACGGGAGGCAGCAGUGGGGAAUAUUGCACAAUGGGCGGAAGCCUGAUGCAGAAACGCCGCGUGCGGGAUGACGGCCUUCGGGUUGUAAACCGCUUUCGCCUGUGACGAAGCGUGAGUGACGGUAAUGGGUAAAGAAGCACCGGCUAACUACGUG
RNAcentral lists this ribosomal RNA (468 nucleotides) under uncultured bacterium. Its description in RNAcentral is "partial 16S ribosomal RNA". It matches the Rfam family "Bacterial small subunit ribosomal RNA", at positions 28 to 507 of the family's 1533-position model. The record is from RNAcentral.